GGGACUAAUUAUGUUUCUAAACUUAUCAGAACCAACAUCUGUGUUGUCUAGGAUGACCAGGUCAUAUCAGGUGAUGACCUUGUACUGAAUCUAGGAUAAUGACAUAAAAAUCACUUGUUUAAAUAUCAGACCUCAAUUUCCUUUCCAAAAAUCACUUCUUUAAGUAUCAUUCUUUUAAUAACCCCACUAAUUUCAACACCCC
RNAcentral lists this long non-coding RNA (202 nucleotides) under Mytilus galloprovincialis (Mediterranean mussel). Lineage: Eukaryota; Metazoa; Mollusca; Bivalvia; Mytilida; Mytilidae. The record is from RNAcentral.